This 31-nucleotide non-coding RNA is filed under the name Rattus norvegicus (Norway rat). Lineage: Eukaryota; Metazoa; Chordata; Mammalia; Rodentia; Muridae. The record is from RNAcentral.
UAGAGUUGAAGUCGAUGAUCCUUGACUCCCU